CGAGGGGAGGAGGGUCCGGUUGGGCACAGGCAAUCGAUGCCCUCUGCUACCAAGUCUAGUUCAUUCGUAACUGCAGCGGACGUCUCAGCUGCUGAUCCCGUCCUCUCAGGGGUCGGUCACCUUAAUAUUGUGUGACCAGGACCAUCCCAACAGCAUCUGGCCCGCAGGAGCAAGGGUUUGAAUAAUUAAAAUCCCAUUCGUCGGUUUAUUAAAAAUCCCAAUAUUGACUCGGGGUCGGGCCGCCGGGCUAGGAGCGAGGGCUCUGAGCGUCUCGCGAAAGCCCCGGUCCGGCCGGGCCCUGUGAUCUCCGGAGGGCUCUGGGUCCCCAGGCUCUCCUGCCCUGGGGUCCUGUUCCUCUUUAGCCUCCUCCGCGACAGGCGUUGAGGGACUAGAGAGAGAGAAAGUUCUUACCUGACAUGUUUGUAAGCCUAUCAAAUCCUAUUUUACAGGAUCUUAAGAAAACCAAGGUGUUUUAAAAUGUCAUUUCUUCAGAUGCGUUGGGCUGAAUUCCGGCCCUGCACGUAGAUUCUAGGAGUUACGUCCCAGAAAUCAGAGCGCAUUCGUGGAGAUGUGGCUAGUUCUGUGAGACAGAUGGAGUGCCCCAAACAGAGACCCGAUCCAGGCAAUCGUGGGUACACGAAGGCAGGCCGCUGGCUGCGGGUCUCCAGAUUUGCCCGUAACUUUAUCACAAUGAAGAGGGCACACAAUGUGUCCCUACUGCAGUAUAUACAGAGUUGGUAAAUUAAGGACAAGAAGGGAAGAGAAAGACAAAGAAGAAAGGAAAAGCAAGCAGAUACAGUCCUGGUCCAGCCCUGCUGACUUCUGCUAGUGGUGUUAGGAUGAAGUUGUCUCCACUUAAGGAAAUGCUAGGGAUGUACUGCAUGUACAUGUGUACUAUAUUUAUAACGAUGCUUGUCACCCUAAUGUAUGGAAGUUAGAACACCCUCCACAUAAAGAGCUGGCAAAAUGCAAACAAAUAUGUCACAGCCCUCACUUGUAUUAACUAGACUUGAUAUAGAAGCCAAAAACCCCAC
This 1034-nucleotide long non-coding RNA is filed under the name Fukomys damarensis (Damara mole-rat). Its description in RNAcentral is "lncRNA (ENSFDAG00000027478.1)". The record is from RNAcentral. Lineage: Eukaryota; Metazoa; Chordata; Mammalia; Rodentia; Bathyergidae.